RNAcentral lists this transfer RNA (70 nucleotides) under Sarcocheilichthys kiangsiensis. RNAcentral's name for it is "tRNA-Arg". It matches the Rfam family "tRNA". From Rfam's summary of the family: Transfer RNA (tRNA) molecules are approximately 80 nucleotides in length. Their secondary structure includes four short double-helical elements and three loops (D, anti-codon, and T loops). Further hydrogen bonds mediate the characteristic L-shaped molecular structure. tRNAs have two regions of fundamental functional importance: the anti-codon, which is responsible for specific mRNA codon recognition, and the 3' end, to which the tRNAs corresponding amino acid is attached (by aminoacyl-tRNA synthetases). tRNAs cope with the degeneracy of the genetic code in two manners: having more than one tRNA (with a specific anti-codon) for a particular amino acid; and 'wobble' base-pairing, i.e. permitting non-standard base-pairing at the 3rd anti-codon position. Lineage: Eukaryota; Metazoa; Chordata; Actinopteri; Cypriniformes; Gobionidae. The record is from RNAcentral.
AGGGAGUUAGUCCAAGAUAAGACCUCUGAUUUCGGCUCAGAAAAUUGUGGUUUGACUCCACAGCCCCCUU